CUAAGGAAUAUACGGAGGCUACACAUACUUGUUGAAACAAUGUUCAGUUUUGAGGGGCUUACCUCUCAACUAAAUGAUUUUGGGCGUAUAGCUCAGCUGGUUUAGAGCGCACGCCUGAUAAGCGUGAGGUCGAUGGUUCGAGUCCAUUUAUGCCCAUUGACCGCAAGGUCAUCAUUAUGGGGAAUUAGCUCAGAUGGGAGAGCACCUGCUUUGCAAGCAGGGGGUCAGCGGUUCGAUCCCGCUAUUCUCCAUUGGCACGAGAGUGCCAAGGAAUUUGUUCUUUGAAAACUAGAUAUUAUCAAUUAUUUUCCUUUAAUUAUUAAGAUAAUUAAACCGAGAAACAACUGCGUAUUUUUGAGUUUUUUAAUUAGUUUAUCGCUAAUACUCAAUUAAUUUGACGAUCACGAAGUGACCGUUA
This 418-nucleotide transfer RNA is filed under the name Companilactobacillus mindensis. RNAcentral describes it as "Lactobacillus mindensis 16S-23S ribosomal RNA large intergenic spacer". The stretch from base 82 to 156 matches the Rfam family "tRNA". Lineage: Bacteria; Bacillati; Bacillota; Bacilli; Lactobacillales; Lactobacillaceae. The record is from RNAcentral.